RNAcentral lists this microRNA (22 nucleotides) under Saccoglossus kowalevskii. RNAcentral's name for it is "Sko-Mir-4828-P2_3p (mature (guide))". The record is from RNAcentral. Lineage: Eukaryota; Metazoa; Hemichordata; Enteropneusta; Harrimaniidae. RNAcentral also lists the same sequence under 1 other name.
AGUAAAUGCCACUGAGAUUAGA